Molecule: ribosomal RNA, 328 nt
Filed under: uncultured eukaryote
Lineage: Eukaryota
Description: partial 18S ribosomal RNA
Rfam family: Eukaryotic small subunit ribosomal RNA
Source: RNAcentral
CCCUUAGAUGUCCUGGGCUGCACGCGCGCUACACUGAUGCGCUCAACGAGUUUACGAUCUUGCCUGAAAUGGCUGGGUAAUCUUUUUAAAACGCAUCGUGACGGGGAUAGAUUAUUGCAAUUAUUAAUCUUCAACGAGGAAUGCCUAGUAGGCGCAAGUCAUCAGCUUGCGUCGAUUACGUCCCUGCCCUUUGUACACACCGCCCGUCGCUCCUACCGAUUGGGUGUGCUGGUGAAAUGUUCGGAUCGGCCGUUUGUCGCGGUUUCCGCGUCAUGUGGCUGAGAAGUUCAUUAAACCCUCCCACCUAGAGGAAGGAGAAGUCGUAACA